CCUACGGGUGGCAGCAGUGAGGAAUAUUCGUCAAUGGGCGCUAGUCUGAACCAGCCAAGUAGCGUGAAGGAUGACUGCCCUAUGGGCUGUAAACUUCGUUUAUAUGGGAGUACAGUGCAGUAUGUAUAUUGCCUUCCAUGGACCUUAUGUAUAAGGAUCGGCUAACUUCGCGCCAGCAGCCGCGGCAAUACGGAGGAUCCGAGCGUUAUACGGACUUAUUGGGUUUAAAGGGAGUGUAGGCGGGUCGUUAAGUCAGUUGUGAAAGUUAGCGGCUCAACCGGAGAAGGGCAGUUGAUACUGGGAGCCUUGAGUGCAGAAGAGGUGGGCGGAAUUCGAGGUGUAGCGGUGAAAUGCUUAGAUAUAACGAGGAACUCCAAUGGCGAAGGCGGCCUGCUGGACUGUAACUGACGCUGAUGCUCGAAAGUGUGGGUAUCAAACAGGAUUAGAUACCCGAGUAGUC
RNAcentral lists this ribosomal RNA (460 nucleotides) under uncultured bacterium. Its description in RNAcentral is "partial 16S ribosomal RNA". It matches the Rfam family "Bacterial small subunit ribosomal RNA", at positions 338 to 795 of the family's 1533-position model. The record is from RNAcentral.